This 259-nucleotide ribosomal RNA is filed under the name uncultured bacterium. RNAcentral describes it as "partial small subunit ribosomal RNA". It matches the Rfam family "Bacterial small subunit ribosomal RNA", at positions 26 to 285 of the family's 1533-position model. The record is from RNAcentral.
AGGACGAACGCUGGCGGCGUGCUUAACACAUGCAAGUCGAGCGGUGAUCCUCCUUCGGGAGGUGAUCAGCGGCGAACGGGGUGAGUAACACGUGGGCAACCUGCCCCUCACACUGGGAUAAACCUCGGGAAACCGGGGCUAAUACCGGAUACGACCUCGAGCGGCAUCUCUUGAGGUGGAAAGCUCCGACGGUGAGGGAUGGGCCCGCGGCCUAUCAGCUUGUUGGUGGGGUAAUGGCCUACCAAGGCGACGACGGGUA